Non-coding RNA from Meleagris gallopavo (turkey), 739 nucleotides. Lineage: Eukaryota; Metazoa; Chordata; Aves; Galliformes; Phasianidae. The record is from RefSeq and is a predicted model, not a curated record.
ACGUGGGGCGAGGGAAAGCGGAGUGGAGAUGGCACGCAGCGGGGGCCUCUGGAAACUGUUAAGGCCGGGGAGGUUCUUUGGAGGGAUGAUACUCCAUUGUUCUGCUCGUGUCAGAUGCAAAGUGAUCCGUUUGAAUUAGGCACAAGUAUUUAACUUAUUAAUGAAUCCUACAGUGAGAUGAGAAGGAGAAGCGCGUAACAAACUGUAAUUUAAAGUGUCAUUUAAGUCCCUAGUUCAGAUCUAGAGUCCACAUGCUUAACUGUCAGAGCCCCGGAGCGGCCCUAACGAGGCCGGCUGUGCUAACGAGGCAGCGACUUCCAGGUGCCGCGGGGCCGCGCACAGCUGCGCCUCGUCGGGAGCCCCGGGCGGGACCCGCCCCAAAGCCUCCCAAAGCCUCUUAAGCUCCGCCGGAGGCUGCUGAGAGCUACGGGGGAGUUCCUGCGGUUCUUCGUGGCAGAUGGAGCGGGAUCUAGCGCUUUGACUGGUCCUAGUGCUGCUGGGGUUCAGGAGCGGAAAGAGACUGGCAAGGUGUUGGAGUCUCUCUCUCUGUGAGAGAACAAGCAUAUAUUGAGCUCUGUCGAGGAGUGUAUGAAGAACUAGUGGAGCGCUUACAUGUGAGGCUCAAGAGACAGUUAAGUUUUCCAGUUAAGCUUUCUCUAACCUUGGUUCCUCUGUGUAUGGGAACUGCUGAAUCGUGGCCUGAACCUCUGAUCACCUGAAGCAAGCAAUGAGUCAGCUG